Molecule: transfer RNA, 72 nt
Filed under: Bos taurus (domestic cattle)
Lineage: Eukaryota; Metazoa; Chordata; Mammalia; Artiodactyla; Bovidae
Also listed under: 4 other names
Rfam family: tRNA
About the family: Transfer RNA (tRNA) molecules are approximately 80 nucleotides in length. Their secondary structure includes four short double-helical elements and three loops (D, anti-codon, and T loops). Further hydrogen bonds mediate the characteristic L-shaped molecular structure. tRNAs have two regions of fundamental functional importance: the anti-codon, which is responsible for specific mRNA codon recognition, and the 3' end, to which the tRNAs corresponding amino acid is attached (by aminoacyl-tRNA synthetases). tRNAs cope with the degeneracy of the genetic code in two manners: having more than one tRNA (with a specific anti-codon) for a particular amino acid; and 'wobble' base-pairing, i.e. permitting non-standard base-pairing at the 3rd anti-codon position.
Source: Rfam by way of RNAcentral
UCCCUAGUAGCUCAGUUGGUAAAGAAUCUGCCUGCAAUGCAGGAGAUCCAGGUUUGAUUGCUGGGUUGGGAA